This 107-nucleotide small RNA is filed under the name Marmota monax (woodchuck). The record is from RNAcentral. Lineage: Eukaryota; Metazoa; Chordata; Mammalia; Rodentia; Sciuridae.
GCUGGGUGUGAUAGGGCACACCUGUAAUCCUAGCUACUCGGGAGGCUGAGGCAGUGGGAUUGCAAGUUUGAGGCCAGCCUGGGCAACUUAGUGAGACCCUGUCUCAA